GAUGAAGAACGCAGCGAAAUGCGAUAAGUAAUGUGAAUUGCAGAAUUCAGUGAAUCAUCGAAUCUUUGAACGCACAUUGCGCCCGCCAGUAUUCUGGCGGGCAUGCCUGUUCGAGCGUCAUUACAACCCUCAGGCCCCCGGGCCUGGCGUUGGGGAUCGGCGGAGCCCCCCGUGGGCACACGCCGUCCCCCAAAUGCAGUGGCGGUCCCGCCGCAGCUUCCAUCGCGUAGUAGCUAACACCUCGCGACUGGAGAGCGGCGCGGCCACGCCGUAAAACACCCAACUCUUCUGAAGUUGACCUCGAAUCAGGUAGGAAUACCCGCUGAACUUAAGCAUAUCAAUAAGCGGA
RNAcentral lists this unclassified non-coding RNA (349 nucleotides) under soil metagenome. RNAcentral describes it as "partial contains 5.8S ribosomal RNA, internal transcribed spacer 2, and large subunit ribosomal RNA". The stretch from base 1 to 120 matches the Rfam family "5.8S ribosomal RNA", at positions 35 to 154 of the family's 154-position model. The record is from RNAcentral.